Molecule: unclassified non-coding RNA, 349 nt
Filed under: Aphidius gifuensis
Lineage: Eukaryota; Metazoa; Arthropoda; Insecta; Hymenoptera; Braconidae
Description: probable serine/threonine-protein kinase DDB_G0282963, transcript variant X7
Source: RNAcentral
UUCUGAUGGAUGAAAUUGGUGGCGCUAGUUGUGAUGAAUUGCGCAUUAAAAUGCGCGAUGAGCCAGUCGUCCAUUUUUACAUUUUUAUCAAUUUUUUUUUUUUUAUUUGAGGGCCAAACCAGCAAAGGGAUUUCAUUAUGCUGUUGUUGAAUAAAGGGGAGGUUAGCUGUACAUAUAGCUUGGCGUCUUCAAAUUUUUAAUAACACGUGGUGAAUUUUAUAAAAAUUACAUCUUAAAAAUUUUAGAAUUAAUAAAAAUCUACCAACAUCAUAUCAAGAUAUACCAAAGCGGAGAAAAAGAAAUUAAACUAGUCAAUUAUAAAUAAAUAUAAAAAAUAAGUUAUUGUAAC